UCANCCAUAGUGUGCUCUGGAAACUGUCUGACUUGAGUGCAGAAGGGGAGAGUGGAAUUCCAUGUGUAGCGGUGAAAUGCGUAGAUAUAUGGAGGAACACCAGUGGCGAAAGCGGCUCUCUGGUCUGUCACUGACGCUGAGGCUCGAAAGCGUGGGUAGCGAACAGGAUUAGAUACCCUGGUAGUCCACGCCGUAAACGAUGAGUGCUAGGUGUUAGGCCCUUUCCGGGGCUUAGUGCCGGAGCUAACGCAAUAAGCACUCCGCCUGGGGAGUACGACCGCAAGGUUGAAACUCAAAGGAAUUGACGGGGGCCCGCACAAGCGGUGGGGCAUGUGGUUUAAUUCGAAGCAACGCGAAGAACCUUACCAGGUCUUGACAUCCCGAUGCUAUUCUUAGAGAUAGGAAGUUACUUCGGUACAUCGGAGACAGGUGGUGCAUGGUUGUCGUCAGCUCGUGUCGUGAGAUGUUGGGUUAAGUCCCGCAACGAGCGCAACCCUUAUUGUUAGUUGCCAUCAUUAAGUUGGGCACUCUAGCGAGACUGCCGGUAAUAAACCGGAGGAAGGUGGGGAUGACGUCAAAUCAUCAUGCCCCUUAUGACCUGGGCUACACACGUGCUACAAUGGUCGGUACAACGAGUUGCGAGCCGGUGACGGCAAGCUAAUCUCUGAAAGCCGAUCUCAGUUCGGAUUGGAGGCUGCAACUCGCCUCCAUGAAGUCGGAAUCGCUAGUAAUCGCGGAUCAGCACGCCGCGGUGAAUACGUUCCCGGGCCUUGUACACACCGCCCGUCAGACCACGAGAGUUUGUAACACCCGAAGUCGGUGAGGUAACCUUUUAGGGGCCAGCC
Molecule: ribosomal RNA, 845 nt
Filed under: uncultured bacterium
Lineage: Bacteria
Description: bacterial SSU rRNA
Rfam family: Bacterial small subunit ribosomal RNA
Source: RNAcentral